This 212-nucleotide long non-coding RNA is filed under the name Mytilus galloprovincialis (Mediterranean mussel). Lineage: Eukaryota; Metazoa; Mollusca; Bivalvia; Mytilida; Mytilidae. The record is from RNAcentral.
GUUAUUCUGUAGAGCUUUCCAAAUUCAUUGGCUGCAAUUAGGUCAUUAAAAGUCAAUCUGAAACACAUCAUACAAUGUCUACAACUACUAAUUUCAAAACUAUAUACUUUGAAGAAAUAUAAAUUAUUACAAAGAAAGCCAUAAAAAGUACAAUUUUACCCGUUUUCUUCUUUAUUCUAGUUUAGUUAUGUAGGACAUGAAGAAAAAUGUAA